Molecule: ribosomal RNA, 398 nt
Filed under: uncultured Alphaproteobacteria bacterium
Lineage: Bacteria; Pseudomonadati; Pseudomonadota; Alphaproteobacteria
Description: bacterial SSU rRNA
Rfam family: Bacterial small subunit ribosomal RNA
Source: RNAcentral
CGAGCCGUGGGAUUUUGCACACUGGCCGAAAGCCUGAACCAGCAAUGCCGCGUGAGUGAUGAAGGCCUUAGGGUUGUAAAGCUCUUUUACCCGGGAUGAUAAUGACGGUACCUGGAGAAUAAGCCCCGGCUAACUCCGUGCCAGCAGCCGCGGUAAUACGGAGGGUGCUAGCGUUGUCCGGAAUUACUGGGCGUAAAGCGUGCGUAGGCGGCUUUGUAAGUCAGGGGUGAAAGCCCGGGGCUCAACCCCGGAAUUGCCUUUGAGACUGCAUGGCUAGAAUCAUGGAGAGGUGAGUGGAAUUCCGAGUGUAGCGGUGAAAUUCGUAGAUAUUCGGAAGAACACCAGUGGCGAAGGCGACUCACUGGACAUGUAUUGACGCUGAGGUGCGAAAGCGUGAG